Non-coding RNA from Heterocephalus glaber (naked mole-rat), 1988 nucleotides. NCBI's taxonomy places the organism in Eukaryota, Metazoa, Chordata, Mammalia, Rodentia, Bathyergidae. The record is from RefSeq and is a predicted model, not a curated record.
GCCCUGCAAGGCGCGGAAGCUUCUGCCGGCGCUUAAAUAAACAAGCACAGACGGAGUCCACCGGACAGCACCCCACCGCGCACCCCGACCAAGCACGGCCUGCGAACUGCGCGUGUGUGCGCUGCUCGCCUCAGGCGGGAGCUACAUCCACCUGUGACACCAGUGCUCAGGAUUUGAAGGAGCCGAAGUGGAAGAGGGGCGAAAGGGAUCUCCAGGCUUGAAUCUGAAGCCGGGAGUGAGAAAGAGAGGUGCAGCGUCCGAGGUGGGGGCACCAUGACGUGAACACCAGGGGUCGACACCACCCAGUCUGUCAGCAUUCCGGGGAAUUUGGCUUUAUUUUGUAUAAACCUGAAGGUGUGAACCGUUGUGUAAGGGGAUGAAAGCCUCCAAGCCUCUGCCCGAGGUUGCAUAAACACGACAAAACGAAGCCCAGUUUCAAAGGUCAGGACUCUGAGGCAGGGGUGACAGCACGCCUAAGGGGCUAGUCUGCGGCGCCCAAACUUACGCACCGUCCCCGCCCGAUGACGUCGCCGCGUCCCCGCCCACUCCCUCUAGCCCCGCCCCCAGUGGCCGAUAGAGGUGGAGUUCUUCCCACGCCGUCAGCCUAGGGCGCGUGGAAAACCUGGAAUGCGGACUUUCCAGCGGCAGCUGGAAGGCCGGAGGACACCUCAGCAACAGCCCGCUGGGAGCAUCGUGUAGGAAGGUGGGAUUCAGUCUAACCAAUCAGUUUACGAUUCUGGAACCCAUGGUACCACUCACGACCUAUUAGAGAGAGAGAGAGAGAGAGAGAGAGAGAGAGAGACGUCUUCUACCACGUGAUGGCUUCUCUUUCAACCAAUCGGGAAAAAGUUUAGUCGUAGGACCCGCUGACCCUUCUCCCAGAGCCUCGCCGGGGAGGGCGGUUACUCCUGCACACUCUAUGAUAACCAAUCACAGCUGGCUGUACAUACCUGGAAGACUUUGGAAGUCAUGUGAUGGAUGAGUGACAUCUCUUAACAGCUGGGCUCCCAAGUAACUUUGUGGAAUAGGAACCCUCCUAUACUUGCUACUCAUAAAUUCAACCUCACCUGUUGAGAAAUAUAACUGUUUUUCCAGCCACUAUGAUAUAUCAACUACAAUAAAUUAGAUUGUCUCAAUUAAUGCACAUUAAUUUUAAUACUGGAGAUUUGAUAAGCAUAUUUAUUAAGCUGAUUAUCUGUUGAUUGUUUGCUUUUUCUGCAUAAAACAUUGUGUCAUUUGGGAAUAAUGAGCUUUGUUUAUCUUCCUUCAUAUUUUUAUAUAUCUUAUUUCUUUUUCUUGUACUGCAUUACUAGCAAAGAGAUCUUGUACAAUGUUGAAUAAAAGUAACUAUAGUUUUUAAGUUGCCUUGCUCCUCAAAGGGAAUUCUUUGUUAACAUUUUACAUUAAUUGCUGUGGUUGGUGUAGGUGUUUCAUAUAGGAGUAUGACAGAAAAGCACAGUAAAUGUUCAAAUUUUAAAAAAUUUAUUACAGUAAAAGAUACAUUGCCAUUAAUCCCCCUGAAAAUUCUCCUCUUUGAUUCAAAUACAUUUAUCUUACCAUUCUUGGCAUGUUCUGAAGUAGUUCUGGAAGUCCUCUUUUGUAAGUGUCUUCAGUUGGCUCUUGUGGCUGCCUCACUGUCUUGAAUUGAUUCAAAACACUUACAUUACGUGGUCAUUUUGACUUGGGAAAAAACCGGAAGUCUCAUGGUACCAGAUACAGUGUGUAAAAGUGGACAAGGACACACCAUUAUGUUUUGACAAGCCUACCUUUCCUUUGGAUGACACUUAGUAGCAACAUUCACCAUAUUUCUGAUCCCAUUCAGCUAAGGUUAUUCAAGUAAAGAGGACUUCCAGAGCUGUUUUUAAAACUGGCAAGAAUGAUGGGAUAAUGUGUUCAAAGUAUGGGGAGUAUUUUGGUAAUGAUGGAUGCAGUGUGUCUUCUAUGUCAUAAUUUUUAAAAAUAUAAAUAUUCAUUAUAUUUUUUGACCA